GGAAAUCAUCUCUUCUACCAACUUCAACAUGGUUCCAGGUAUUCGCUCUCCUUCUUGAUCAAUCUCCCGCAUAAUUUGCUCAACAAUCUCAAUCUUUGACUGUUUGUUUUUGAUGACAUAGCCAGAGCAGUCCCUUAGUAGUAGCAGUAGCUCUCUAGCCAUUUCUUUAGCCCUCCGUGUCCCGUCUACGCUCACUUGAAGCAAUCCAGGCAUCACUCCUUCUCUAAGUAUCAUUCCUCGGUUUGUCUCUCUGUCGUUGUUGCAUAUACCAAGUAGUAUUCCCACGGCAUGCUCUUUACACUGUGCUGACCCUUCUUCAAUGGCUUCCACCAGAACCCCAAUUGCUCCACCGAUGCUGGAAACAGAUUCUGGUGAAUGAGAAAUUAUGUUUUCAAGCAAAG
RNAcentral lists this long non-coding RNA (401 nucleotides) under Arabidopsis thaliana (thale cress). RNAcentral's name for it is "long non-coding RNA (ATHA_LNC000375)". Lineage: Eukaryota; Viridiplantae; Streptophyta; Magnoliopsida; Brassicales; Brassicaceae. The record is from RNAcentral.